Molecule: ribosomal RNA, 586 nt
Filed under: Staphylococcus aureus
Lineage: Bacteria; Bacillati; Bacillota; Bacilli; Caryophanales; Staphylococcaceae
Description: partial 23S ribosomal RNA
Rfam family: Bacterial large subunit ribosomal RNA
Source: RNAcentral
UUGUGUCUUCGAGUCGUUGAUUUCACACUGCCGAGAAAAGCCUCUAGAUAGAAAAUAGGUGCCCGUACCGCAAACCGACACAGGUAGUCAAGAUGAGAAUUCUAAGGUGAGCGAGCGAACUCUCGUUAAGGAACUCGGCAAAAUGACCCCGUAACUUCGGGAGAAGGGGUGCUCUUUAGGGUUAACGCCCAGAAGAGCCGCAGUGAAUAGGCCCAAGCGACUGUUUAUCAAAAACACAGGUCUCUGCUAAACCGUAAGGUGAUGUAUAGGGGCUGACGCCUGCCCGGUGCUGGAAGGUUAAGAGGAGUGGUUAGCUUCUGCGAAGCUACGAAUCGAAGCCCCAGUAAACGGCGGCCGUAACUAUAACGGUCCUAAGGUAGCGAAAUUCCUUGUCGGGUAAGUUCCGACCCGCACGAAAGGCGUAACGAUUUGGGCACUGUCUCAACGAGAGACUCGGUGAAAUCAUAGUACCUGUGAAGAUGCAGGUUACCCGCGACAGGACGGAAAGACCCCGUGGAGCUUUACUGUAGCCUGAUAUUGAAAUUCGGCACAGCUUGUACAGGAUAGGUAGGAGCCUUUGAAACGU